UGCCCCUUGGCCCAGUUGGUGAAGGCGCACGACUGUUACAUUCUGGUAACGAUUGUUCAUCGUGAGAUCGCAAGUUCGAACCUUGCAGGGGCAG
Non-coding RNA from Mycena vitilis, 94 nucleotides. Lineage: Eukaryota; Fungi; Basidiomycota; Agaricomycetes; Agaricales; Mycenaceae. The record is from the annotation of a GenBank genome assembly.